CUGGCCGAAAACUUCACAAGUGUUGUCCAAAACCUUCCUCGUCGAAAACUCCACGAAAUUAAAACCUAGCCUCUCAAACUCAUGUCCGUCGAAACUCCACAAAAACGCAUCUCUGCCGAAACUCCACAGAAAUCUAUCUCCACCGAAACUUUCCUCCCACUGCCCGCACCUAACCUCCUUCGUGACCUAGCCUCAUCUGCCACCCCCACCAGCGACCUAGCUUCCUCCUCCACUCCGUCGUCGCUCUUCUUCGUUGCCGUUUUCUUUAACUCUUUUUCUUUGCGGUUGUCGUUCACUAUUUUCCCCUAUGCCAGACGACGACGAGGGCAGAGGAAUCAGGAGGGAUUUUUUUUUUCGAAGUUAGGUAACAUUGACAACACUUGUUAAAGACGAAACCACUUGAGGGCAGAGACAUGGGCAAGUCGGAAGAGGUUCUGAAGGCUGCAAAUAUAGACGAGGAGGCGGAGGGGGCAAACAGCCAUAUAGGUAAGGAGGCAAGCAGUUUAUUAAAAGCUUCUACGAGCAGCUUCGCCUCCAGCAGAGGAUUACUCCAAUGACUCCGGUGUAGAAACGAUUCACUUGUCUUCCUCUAAUCCUGAAACCCUCGUUUUUGCUUUUUCAAGUCUGAUUGGGAAUUUGAUUGAAUUUCUUUAGUGGAAAAUUAUGCAAAGUAAUAGAUUUUACCUUUUGGAACACUCGCAUGGCUUCUUCUUGAGUCUUUUCAUCUUUUCUCAUCCAUUUUGUUCUUUUUUUUGAAUAGUCACAGAGUUUAUUCAUUUGAUUGCUCUUUUGAAUGAAUAAAUAGGCUGAAACAAAACAACUCAUAUAUGAACAAACUGUUUGCUUUCUUCAUUUGCAACUUUUGCAGUAGAUUUGCCUUGCGAUAGUGAUGUUUUUUUGUAGUCCCUUUGACUUGGGUAGGCUUUUCCUUCGUGAUCGGCUUUGUGAAGGCAGUGAGGAAGUUCACUUCGCCGAGAGCACAACACAAGAGAUUGGUCAAUAAGAAUGCUUUCUUACUGAAAUCAAUAGAUAAAUUGUUUCUGAAGGGAAGGAAUGAAGUAAAUAAUGCGGUUCUCUGAAAGAGCUUAUGCAAAAGUGGGGUCAAGAUAUACAAUGCAUCAAGGGGUAUUUCAAAAGGACCGGGUUUUAAACAAUU
Long non-coding RNA from Zingiber officinale, 1156 nucleotides. RefSeq lists it as uncharacterized. NCBI's taxonomy places the organism in Eukaryota, Viridiplantae, Streptophyta, Magnoliopsida, Zingiberales, Zingiberaceae. The transcript has 3 exons. The record is from RefSeq and is a predicted model, not a curated record.